AAACCCAGGGCAGAUGACAGGAACAAAUGCAGAGAAGCAAGAAACAGCAAUGUCUAUCAGGAAGAAGGUGGGGCUUCCAGACAGAAGGGCACUCCAACAUUGAAGAUGACAGCAGCAUAAGUACUCCAUAGGCCUACAAGAGGUAAUGCUUACACAGGCCUAAGAAAUAGAAAAUGGAAGCCAAGAUCCCAGGAAAAUGCUCUGAUGCAGCCCAACAAGAAGGACGAGAAGGGGACUCUUACACAGAAACUGGGUAAGGCUGGGAGCAGACUGCAAGCACGAAGUGACCCACAGACCUGGAGACCAGUGCCCAUCUAAUUCUGUAUCUGGGGCCCAGACAUGGCAGAGGUUUCUGAUUUUAUAAGAACUAUAUCUGUAAUCCAGAAACAACUAAAUUUCAAGCAUGCUAGGAAGC
This 415-nucleotide long non-coding RNA is filed under the name Homo sapiens (human). RNAcentral's name for it is "HSALNT0047413". The record is from RNAcentral. Lineage: Eukaryota; Metazoa; Chordata; Mammalia; Primates; Hominidae.